This is a non-coding RNA of Macaca mulatta (Rhesus monkey), 670 nucleotides long. NCBI's taxonomy places the organism in Eukaryota, Metazoa, Chordata, Mammalia, Primates, Cercopithecidae. The record is from RefSeq and is a predicted model, not a curated record.
GACGUAAACCGCUGAGACGCUUUCGUUAGAACCCUUUGCGCGAUGAUGCAAUCGCCUGAGACGGAUUUGUCAGAACUUAACAGCCUUGUUAAGUGAAACAUGACAGUUUUCUUCUUUUUAAUUUUUAAUUUUUGUAGGUACAUAGUAGUGAGAAGCCUGGAGUUAAGAACUGCACAACAAUCAAUCUGGAGCAUUUUAGUCUUGAGUUGAUCUGCUAAAGCAGUUCUGAAGAGGGGUUGAUCAAAGGCAACAGGACAUGAGGAUUCAGCUUCCAGAAGGAUUCAGCUUCCAGAAAGUGUAAGAAACCCCUGAAAUUUUCUGUACUGGUAAACAUGAAAGGCAAACAUCCAUUGAGACAUGGUUCUCUAUGAAGUGGGUCUCUUUCAGCUUGGGUCCUCAUGAACUUAACCAAACAGAACAGCAUUUUGAAGAUCGUGAAACUGCCCUGGAAUAUACUUUCUUCCUGUUUGUGACUUCUGACACUCUGAGGACCCGGCCGCUGCUUGAUUAUGCCAGCCAUAACUACUUCAGAUCCCUAAAUUUAUAGAAUCAAAAGACAUUAUAGAGACCUUUCAUUCCAGUGCCAUAAAAAUGUAAUUCUCAGUACCAUUAAAGUUUCUUCUGGUGUUUCCAAUUAAAAAAAAAAAAAGAAACAAGAACACUAAUAAGA